UAGGCUGCAGCUGUGGCGGCGGGCUCGCGCUGCUCACACAUCACUGAGGACCAGCGGCGCGCGCUCACACACACGCACACUCCCAAACAAAGAGAAGCACGCGACACAGCCCAGCAUCAGACUCGAGUCCUGAACCUGGUCUCUGACAGAACCGCCCCCCCACCCCAGACCCGCACCAGAACCAGAACCGUCCUCCGACACAAAAAGAGCCACCAUGACAACUAACGGCGCCUCCAACGGAACCAGCGACAUGCUGCAGAUCCAGUUCGGUCUCAUCAACUGCGGGAACAAAUACCUAACGGCGGAGAUGUUCGGCUUCAAGAUCAACGCGUCCGCCACCAGCAUGAAGAAGAAGCAGAUCUGGACCUUGGAGCAGAGCGGCGACGACUCCAGCGGCAACGUCUUCUACCUCAAGUCACAUCUGGGCCGUUACAUCGGCGCUGACAAGGACGGGAACGUCACGGGAGACAGCGAGAGCCCCGGCUCCGAGUGCCGCUUCAUCAUCACCGCGCACGACGACGGCCGCUGGUCCCUGCAGUCCGAGCAGCACGGCCGCUACCUGGGCGGCACCGAGGACCGGAUCAUCUGCUUCGCCCAGACCGCCUCGGUGGCGGAGAAAUGGAGCGUGCACAUCGCCAUGCACCCGCAGGUGAACAUCUUCAGCAUGACGCGCAAGCGCUACGCGCACCUGAGCUCCAAGGUGGACGAGAUCGCCAUCGACCGGGACGUGCCGUGGGGGGUGGACUCCAUGAUCACGCUGGUGUUCCGAGAGCAGCGCUACCACCUGCAGACCUCCGACAACCGCUUCCUGAAGAACGACGGCGCGCUGGUCGCCUCCACGGACAAGAGCACGGGCUACACGCUGGAGUUCCGAUCCGGCAAGGUGGCCUUCAGGGACUGCAGCGGGAGGUACCUGGCCCCCUCCGGGCCCUCCGGCACCAUGAAGUCCGGAAAGAGCGCGCGCGUGGGCAAGGAUGAGCUGUUCGUGCUGGAGCAGAGCCACCCGCAGGUGGUGCUGACCGCUGCCAACGAGAGGAACGUCUCCACCCGGCAAGGUAUGGACCUCUCAGCCAAUCAGGAUGAGGAAGGUGACCAGGAAGUGUUCCAGGUGGAGAUUUGCCGUGAAAACAGGAAGUGUGCGUUUCGGACCGCUGCUGGGAAGUACUGGACUCUCACUGCCAACGGUGGGCUGCAGUGCACCGCCUCCACCAAGUCGGCUAAUUGCUACUUUGACAUUGAGUGGCGUGGGAAGAGGCUGACUCUUCGGGCCGCCAAUGGGAAAUACGUGGCCGCUAAGAAGAAUGGACAGUUAGCAGCAACCAUGGACUCUGCCGGCGAGACAGAGGAGUUCAUCAUGAAACUGAUCAACCGCCCCAUCAUCGUGCUGCGCGGUGAGCACGGCUUCAUCGGCUGCAGGAAGGUGACAGGGACUCUGGACUCCAACCGCUCCUCCUAUGACUACUUCACUCUGGAGUUCAGAGACGGGGGCUACAGCCUGCAAGACACCACCGGCAAAUACUGGAUGGUGGGGAACGAGCAGUCGGUGGUGAGCAGCAGCGACACGCCGGUUGACUUCCUCUUCGAGUUCUGUGACUACAACAAGCUGGCCAUCCGCCACGCUGCCGACGGCAAGUACCUUCGUGGCGACCACGCUGGCGUGCUUAAGGCCAACGCUGACGACCUGGAGACAGCCACACUCUGGGAGUACUGAGGGAUGAUGGGAAAGCACACUGCUGCGAUGCGAGGGAAUGAACGAACGAACGAAUGAAUGAAAGAAAGUGUGAUUAAAAUGAUGUGGCACAGCAGCACUACCCGUCCAUUCAUCUACCUGUCCACCACUUCCUAUAUUAUAUCGUUAUGACUGUUUUUGUUGCUGAACUGCACAGAGAGAAAAGAAACGAUAGAAGGACGGAAUGAGAGAUGUCUUUUCAUUUUUUGACUCCCUUAUCCCCUUUUUAUCCUUACUUUUCCCAGCUCUGCUCUGCAGUGCCAACGUUCAUCUGUUGCCAUAUUUAUCAAGGGGCCGUACACCCCUCCUGCCACCUACCCCCACUUUGAUCCACUUUACUGCUUGACCUGUCACCCUCCCCCUCCUUCACCUUAGAACCAGACUGCCCCUCUGCUAGAGCGCAGUGUUCUCCCUGGUCUGUUUGUGUUUGUGUAUUUAUGGCGUCUGUCCUGGUCUGGUGGAGCCGUUUCCACCUGAUUUAAUGAUUUAAUCUCACAAACAAACAAACAAACAAACACUCCUGGAUUAAGUCCGUUUCAGCUGCUUCACGACGAUGAGUAAAUGUUUGUUUUUUUUUAACGCAGGUUGGCUUUUGUGGGAAAAAAAACGGUCUUCGGCCUUUGCCCGACCGAGCUGAGCGUGUUUGUGUUCACAUGCAGGACUCGUUGCCUCGGUGCGACGACUAAAUGGUAAAACUGGAGUAGAUCUUAUGAUGGUAAAGAUAUCACACACGAUGUAACCGAUGGGUUCGUUAUUCCUCUGUUCAUCUCAACUAUAACGUAUUCAAAUGUAAAGCAGGUUUUCUUUUCGUACUGCAGCUCUGUGGUUGGUUCCCUUUGCUGAACCAAACAGGAUGUAGGAAGUUUAAAAAAAAAAGUCAUCCUCUUCCCUUUCCUCUAAAUAAUAACCCAAUUGUCCUAGGAGCAGUAUUGUGACACUCAAACAUGGAAUAGUCACAUUUAUAAAUAGGGGAAUAAUAUUAAGUGGAUGAAGCAAUUAGUAAGGUUCUGGGAAACAACUGGAAGUGUUCCGCUGGUUUCUGUUUUUUUUUUUAAGGUCUGUUUUGUCAUUCGUAUUUAGAGGAAAACUGAUAUAUAUGAUAUAACAGAGAUGGGGAUCAUUACUGUUGUUCUUUAUCAAUGAUUUUCCUUCAGCUAUCAUAGAAAAUUACACAAUCGUUUAGAUCCAAUAGAAACAAAAAACGUGCCAAGAUUGAACAAUAAAAUACGCAGAAAAGAAUUAUACUUAUGUGAUAAAUCAAUUCUGGAAAAGCAUUAGGGAAAAACACAUCUUUCAAAAUCAGUUGAACACUUCCUGUGUUUCCCACUGACGGCUACGUCCACUUUUUUUUUUCUACGUUAUUUGAAUCACUGAUGUUUGCUGCACUUAAAUGUCUUACACAGAGAAACACCUGACUUCACUUCUUUUUACUCUCUCCGAGGCACAGACAUUAUCAUGGUAGUACAGUUCGAAGCGGAGCGAGGUGACGUGUGAACCGUUUCUUUUGAAAGCUGCUUUUUUCUAAUCCCUCGACCAAACCUUAAACCUUUGCCUUUAUCUGCACCAAACCUGUGAUACUGGACAAAAACAGCUGCCAUCUCACCUGGUGCUAAACGAAAAUGUCGUCAUCCGUUUGUGCACUCACUGAAGAGCCUUGACACGUAACCAAAAGAGCCGUGAGAGUGCCCGUAGAAAAAUAUUAAAUAACACUAAUUCUGCUUUGAUUUUUCGUUGGGUUUUAAUUUCCGUUUUGAUCUUUUGGCGGAGCCAUGAAGGCUUGUGACUAAAUUGUGUUUGUAUUUUAUUUACUUUCUAUCUCAUCAGUGCUGUGUUGACGGGAUGAGUUUGAGCAGAAGCAGAAUGAUGAUGUUGUUGUUGUUUCUUUAACUGGAAUGUCUGUUACGCAGUCUUGUAGCAAGUUGCACCCACAGGUCCUGCCCUCUUUGAUUCUCUGCCCUUUCUAAUCCUGCUUUCUCCACAAUUCACUUAGCAACAGAAGUAUUUGCUUCAACAUUAUUAUUUUUUAUUUUAAACAGUACAGUUAGAGCUUGUCUUGGCCUAGAAUUAUUAGGUCUUUGCACAAUUUUAAACAAUCCUCUAAAAUAGAAAUCUGUGCAGACGCCAUUGUCGUGGCUCUGAAUCCCAACAUUUUUUGUUUCUGUAAAAAGGGCUGAGGAUCUCAUGUAAGUAAAAGGACUGGUUAUUUUGGUUGGAAACCAGCAUCUCCAAGAUAACCCAGACCAUGGCUUAGACAAACGGAUGUGGAAGGGUAACCAUGUGGUAAUGACUGUGCCUUACUCUUGAGUUUUUGCGCAGUUCUUUGGGGAAAAAGUAAAAAUGGCCACACCUUUGCUUUGUAUAACUGGAACUUCCUUUUGUAUUAUUUUGUAUAAUUUUUUUUUUCUUUCACUAUUGUGGAUUAAUCUCUCUCGUGCCAUUGGUUCACCUGAAAUCCAACGACCAAUAAAACUGGGAUUUGAAAAGCUA
This is an RNA transcript of Cynoglossus semilaevis (tongue sole), 4216 nucleotides long. It is a transcript of the gene named fascin actin-bundling protein 1a, with no coding region annotated. The transcript has 6 exons. The record is from RefSeq and is a predicted model, not a curated record. Lineage: Eukaryota; Metazoa; Chordata; Actinopteri; Pleuronectiformes; Cynoglossidae.